This 447-nucleotide ribosomal RNA is filed under the name uncultured bacterium. RNAcentral's name for it is "bacterial SSU rRNA". It matches the Rfam family "Bacterial small subunit ribosomal RNA", at positions 355 to 825 of the family's 1533-position model. The record is from RNAcentral.
UGGGGAAUAUUGGACAAUGGGCGCAAGCCUGAUCCAGCCAUGCCGCGUGGAUGAAGAAGGCCCUAGGGUUGUAAAGUCCUUUCGACGGAGACGAUAAUGACGGUAUCCGUAGAAGAAGCCCCGGCUAAUUUCGUGCCAGCAGCCGCGGUAAUACGAAAGGGGCCAGCGUUGUUCGGAAUUACUGGGCGUAAAGCGCACGUAGGCGGUCGUGUAAGAUGGGGGUGAAAUCCCGGGGCUCAACUCCGGAACUGCCUUCAUGACUGCAUGGCUAGAGGAUGCGAGAGGUUGGCGGAAUUCCGAGUGUAGAGGUGAAAUUCGUAGAUAUUCGGAAGAACACCAGUGGCGAAGGCGGCCAACUGGCGCAUUUCUGACGCUGAGGUGCGAAAGCGUGGGGAGCAAACAGGAUUAGAUACCCAAGUAGUCCCUGAGCGGGCUGGCAAGGCGCAU